UACGUAGGGUGCAAGCGUUGUCCGGAAUUAUUGGGCGUAAAGAGCUCGUAGGCGGUCUGUCGCGUCUGCUGUGAAAACUCGGGGCUUAACCCCGGGCCUGCAGUGGGUACGGGCAGACUAGAGUGCGGUAGGGGAGAUUGGAAUUCCUGGUGUAGCGGUGGAAUGCGCAGAUAUCAGGAGGAACACCGAUGGCGAAGGCAGAUCUCUGGGCCGUAACUGACGCUGAGGAGCGAAAGCAUGGGGAGCGAACAGG
Molecule: ribosomal RNA, 253 nt
Filed under: uncultured bacterium
Lineage: Bacteria
Description: partial 16S ribosomal RNA
Rfam family: Bacterial small subunit ribosomal RNA
Source: RNAcentral